UACGGGGGGGGCAAGCGUUGUUCGGAAUUACUGGGCGUAAAGGGCUCGUAGGCGGCCAACUAAGUCAGACGUGAAAUCCCUCGGCUUAACCGGGGAACUGCCUCUGAUACUGGAUGGCUUGAGAUUGGGAGAGGGAUGCGGAAUUCCAGGUGUAGCGGUGAAAUGCGUAGAUAUCAAGAGGAACACCUGAGGUGAAGACGGGUUGCUGGGCCGACACUGACGCUGAAGCGCGAAAGCCAGGGGAGCAAACGGG
This 253-nucleotide ribosomal RNA is filed under the name uncultured bacterium. RNAcentral describes it as "partial 16S ribosomal RNA". It matches the Rfam family "Bacterial small subunit ribosomal RNA", at positions 524 to 776 of the family's 1533-position model. The record is from RNAcentral.